This 443-nucleotide ribosomal RNA is filed under the name Escherichia coli. Its description in RNAcentral is "bacterial SSU rRNA". It matches the Rfam family "Bacterial small subunit ribosomal RNA", at positions 338 to 795 of the family's 1533-position model. The record is from RNAcentral. Lineage: Bacteria; Pseudomonadati; Pseudomonadota; Gammaproteobacteria; Enterobacterales; Enterobacteriaceae.
CCUACGGGGGGCAGCAGUGGGGAAUAUUGGACAAUGGAGGAGACUCUGAUCCAGCAAUUCUGUGUGUGUGAAGAAGGUUUUAGGACUGUAAAACACUUUUAGAAGGGAAGAAAAAAAUGACGGUACCUUCAGAAGAAGCGACGGCUAAAUACGUGCCAGCAGCCGCGGUAAUACGUAUGUCGCGAGCGUUAUCCGGAAUUAUUGGGCUUAAAGGGCAUCUAGGCGGGUAAGCAAGUUGAAGGUGAAAAGCUGUGGCUCAACCAUAGUCUUGCCUACAAAACUGUUUAUCUAGAGUACUGGAAAGGUGGGUGGAACUACACGAGUAGAGGUGAAAUUCGUAGAUAUGUGUAGGAAUGCCGAUGAUGAAGAUAACUCACUGGACAGAAACUGACGCUGAAGUGCGAAAGCUAGGGGAGCAAACAGGAUUAGAUACCCUGGUAGUC